Long non-coding RNA from Ixodes scapularis (black-legged tick), 725 nucleotides. RefSeq lists it as uncharacterized. Lineage: Eukaryota; Metazoa; Arthropoda; Arachnida; Ixodida; Ixodidae. The record is from RefSeq and is a predicted model, not a curated record. The transcript has 2 exons.
UCUGGCAGCGACAAAGUGUCAGAGCUUUCUGGACAAGCGGCGAUAAUCAAGAAUGAAACGUGCCCUACAGCUAGCUAGCUUCGAGAGUGUUGCACAUCGCAGUGUCAAACGAAACGGCAAUAUCAGUCAACAAGACCGAGUACCGCUUUACGACGAGAGUGAGCCCGCCUCGCACCCAUCCAAAACAGCGUGAAACUGGCAAAAAAUAUUCUAACCCUAAAAUUAACUUGGGCUGUUCGUACAGAAGGAGCACGCUUCAGAGAAAGAGUCGUGUGGGCAUCCUUGUGUUCCGCAAGGCGUGCCUAGCCUUCAAAUUUCUUGCGUUUGCUCUGAUCAAGCUUUUGCGCAGUUUUUUCCAGUGUAUCGUUUAACAAAAAGUUACAGCUGUUUUGUACUGAGCAGGUUACAGGAACUAAUGCCAUCUGUAAAUAUCUCUUACAGCCGUGCUGUUUGAAGUCAUCACAGAUAUAAACUACACGUUGCAGCAACUCUCAAUUGCAUUCCUCCCCGUCAUGUCGAACAGCGUAGCGCUAAUUUCAGUUUGAGGUCUGCACUCUUACUACAAUGCAGAUGGUGACAGCAUCAGGCUGCACUCGGUUACCGUCGUGAAUCAUGGACCUAGACUGCACUCUUAGGCCCACUCCUUUUUGGUGGAUCGGGUCUUGCCAUCUUCCCCUUUCAUGGCUUCCUGACGUAAUUAAAUAAAUUCUCAUAUUUUUUUCUGA